Molecule: long non-coding RNA, 808 nt
Organism: Rhagoletis zephyria (snowberry fruit fly)
Lineage: Eukaryota; Metazoa; Arthropoda; Insecta; Diptera; Tephritidae
Source: RefSeq, a predicted model, not a curated record
AUGAAACUUGCGAUGCGAUUUGGCAAGAGCUCCAUGAGAUUUACCUAGCUCAACCAAAGUAGACAGAAUGGAAAAACAUUGCUGACAGGUUUUAUGUAAAAACUGGAAUGCCGCAUUGCCUCGGAGCUGUAGAUGGCAAACAUAUCAAAGUAAUUUGCCCUAAAUCUAGUGGUUCCCUCUAUAACUUCAAGAAAACGUUUAGUAUCGUCCUCAUGGCAAUAUGCGAUCAGAACUAUUCAUUUGUGUUCGUUGACGUUGGUGCGUUGGGAAGCCAAAGCGAUGGAGGAAUUUUCCCCGCAGCGCCUUUGGCAGGAUGAUUCUACGAAACAACCUUGAAAUUGCCCCAGAUGAUAACCUUCCCGGUACGGACAAAAUAUUUCCAUACAUUUUUGUCGGGGACAACGCGUUUCCUCUUAGACGCAAUCUUAUGCGUCCAUACCCAGGUCGGAACUUGUCAACCGGCAAGCUUUAUUUUAAUAAAAAGUUAUCAUCUGCCCGGGUGCAUAUCGAAAACACCUUUGGAAUUUUGGCAAACAGGUGGAGAUUCCUUCACACCACUAUAAAUGCAGCCCCAGUAAAUGUGGACAAAAUAGUGUUAGCCACAGUAGUUCUGCACAAUUAUUUGAUGCUUCACAGGAAUGGGGGCUACUUCGAACCGAGCUUAGUGGAUCGCGAGGAAAAUGGAGACAAUCUUCGACGGAUAUGAGAUCCAUACGAACUUCUCAUUCCAACCGUUCCACAAUGGAAGCAUUUACCUUGAGAGAGGAACUAACUGAUUAUUUACUGGAUUACAAUGGUGCUUAAGUUU